This is a non-coding RNA of Homo sapiens (human), 93 nucleotides long. The record is from Rfam. Lineage: Eukaryota; Metazoa; Chordata; Mammalia; Primates; Hominidae.
GCCUGGCCAGCAGCACAUAUAUUAAAACUGGAAUAAUACAGGGAAGAUUAGCAGAAGGAUGACAUGCAAAUUUGUGAAGCGUUCCAUAUUAAA